This 47-nucleotide small nucleolar RNA is filed under the name Pyrobaculum aerophilum str. IM2. Its description in RNAcentral is "PAEsR120". Lineage: Archaea; Thermoproteati; Thermoproteota; Thermoprotei; Thermoproteales; Thermoproteaceae. The record is from RNAcentral.
GUGAUUAAGGCCGGCAAUGCUGAUAGGUGAAGAAUGCCGUGGCCUGA